GUGACAGCAGCCGCGGUAAUACAGAGGGUGCAAGCGUUAAUCGGAAUUACUGGGCGUAAAGGGUGCGUAGGUGGAUACGUAAGUCAGAUGUGGAAUCCCCGGGCUUAACCUGGGAACUGCAUUUGAUACUGCGAAUCUAGAGUAUGGUAGAGGUAAGUGGAAUUUCCAGUGUAGCGGUGAAAUGCGUAGAUAUUGGAAGGAACAUCAGUGGCGAAGGCGACUUACUGGACUGAUACUGACACUGAGGCACGAAAGCGUGGGGAGCAAACAGGAUUAGAUGCCCUCGUAGUCC
This 292-nucleotide ribosomal RNA is filed under the name uncultured bacterium. RNAcentral describes it as "partial 16S ribosomal RNA". It matches the Rfam family "Bacterial small subunit ribosomal RNA", at positions 505 to 796 of the family's 1533-position model. The record is from RNAcentral.